GAAGGAAAAUCUGAUUUCUGAAAAAGUUUUGGGUGAUAAAGAUAUUUAUGGACUUUUGAAAUAUUGGAGUUUUGUUAGUCCUAUAAAGCUUAUUGGAGUAUACAGGGAGGAAUUGGAGAUCGUAAGACAUGAGAUGGUCACGUUAGAAGGAUGGUACUAUGGUUUUGAUCUUUCAGCCGAAGGAGUUGACUAUUAAGCUUCAUGAUGAGUGUGCUGCGAUUACUCUUGCCAAGAUAGAAGCCAGGGGGUGAAAGCUGAAGAUUUUCUGAUUAUAUAAUAUGCUAUUGGCAUGCUUCAUAAGAACGAUGGUGGACCCGUGCUUAGCUCAUUUUCAGGUGCCACAAGAGUGUUAUUUGAUGAUGAUCUUAAGUAGCUGCUGUACUUGUGCACCACGAUUGCUGUCGGGAAUAUGUACCUCCAUAAUAUUUUUCUUAUUUUCUUUUUCUGCGUUGUAUGUAUCCCUCCUUUUUUUAAAUCAUUGGGUAAUUUUUGUGAAGUUCAUGGCCAUGUAAUUAGCGGCAUAUGCUUUGAAAGAGUUGCUCUAAUCUCAUCUUGACAUGAUGUCCUCACAUUAAGUGAUGGAUGGUAGCAGUCAUUGAUCGAUAUUCUUGUGGCCCGUGCAACGCACGGAGGAUUUUGCUAGUUUUAA
Long non-coding RNA from Neltuma alba, 649 nucleotides. RefSeq lists it as uncharacterized. The transcript has 3 exons. NCBI's taxonomy places the organism in Eukaryota, Viridiplantae, Streptophyta, Magnoliopsida, Fabales, Fabaceae. The record is from RefSeq and is a predicted model, not a curated record.